AGCACUUCUGCGCUUCCAUCGUCGACUGUGAGGGGGAUGUUGAAAAGGAAUCCGAUGGAGAGGAUGUGCAUACUUUCCCUAUUGGUUGCGUUUUUCCUUAGUUUGCAAUUGGUUGUUUACUACAAAGACUUUUGCUACAUGUGGAUUUCUCUAGCCCACCAUCUUGUUGCUAAAAGUUGUUUAUACAAAGUAGGAGAGGAUGUGAUAUGAUAAUGAGGAUGCGUCAGCUUUAAAAAAUGAAGAUUUUGUUCCUAGAGCAUCACUUGGAAGCAAUAUGGCCAACGAUGGUGUUUUCUCGAGUUUUGAAGAUGAUGAUGAUAGUGUGUUCACGUCGAGCCCUGUGUUUUACUUCGAAGACGCGCCUGAGUCGCCACCACCAAGCUAUGAAUCAGUUUGUGUGGUAUCAAAUGAAAAUGAUCACAGGGUACCACCACCAGACAAUGAUCAUCGGGUACCACCUCCUGACAAUACUAACUGGAUACCACCUCCUGACA
This is a long non-coding RNA of Ornithodoros turicata, 494 nucleotides long. RefSeq lists it as uncharacterized. The record is from RefSeq and is a predicted model, not a curated record. The transcript is spliced from 8 exons. Lineage: Eukaryota; Metazoa; Arthropoda; Arachnida; Ixodida; Argasidae.